AGCGAACGCUGGCGGCAGGCCUAACACAUGCAAGUCGAGCGCCCCGCAAGGGGAGCGGCAGACGGGAGAGUAACACGUGGGAACGUGCCCUUUGGUUCGGAACAACCCAGGGAAACUUGGGCUGAUCCCGGAUAAGCCCUCACGGGGAAAGAUUUAUCGCGGAAGGAUCGGCCCGAGUCUGAUUAGCUAGUUGGUGAGGUAAUGGCCCACCAAGGAGACGAUCAGUAGCUGGUCCGAGAGGAUGAUCAGCCUCACUGGGACUGAGACACGGCCCAGACUCCUACGGGAGGCAGCGGUGGGGAAUAUUGGACAAUGGGCGCAAGCCUGAUCCAGCCAUGCCGCGUGGGUGAUGAAGGCCUUAGGGUUGUAAAGCUCUUUCACCGGAGAAGAUAAUGACGGUAUCCGGAGAAGAAGCCCCGGCUAACUUCGUGCCAGCCGCCGCGGUAA
Molecule: ribosomal RNA, 447 nt
Filed under: uncultured bacterium
Lineage: Bacteria
Description: partial 16S ribosomal RNA
Rfam family: Bacterial small subunit ribosomal RNA
Source: RNAcentral